Molecule: ribosomal RNA, 1343 nt
Filed under: uncultured bacterium
Lineage: Bacteria
Description: 16S ribosomal RNA
Rfam family: Bacterial small subunit ribosomal RNA
Source: RNAcentral
GACGAACGCUGGCGGCGUGCUUAACACAUGCAAGUCGAACGGAAAGGCCCUGCUUUUGUGGGGUGCUCGAGUGGCGAACGGGUGAGUAACACGUGAGUAACCUGCCCUUGACUUUGGGAUAACUUCAGGAAACUGGGGCUAAUACCGGAUAGGAGCUCCUGCUGCAUGGUGGGGGUUGGAAAGUUUCGGCGGUUGGGGAUGGACUCGCGGCUUAUCAGCUUGUUGGUGGGGUAGUGGCUUACCAAGGCUUUGACGGGUAGCCGGCCUGAGAGGGUGACCGGCCACAUUGGGACUGAGAUACGGCUCAGACUCCUACGGGAGGCAGCAGUGGGGAAUAUUGCACAAUGGGCGGAAGCCUGAUGCAGCAACGCCGCGUGCGGGAUGACGGCCUUCGGGUUGUAAACCGCUUUCGCCUGUGACGAAGCGUGAGUGACGGUAAUGGGUAAAGAAGCACCGGCUAACUACGUGCCAGCAGCCGCGGUGAUACGUAGGGUGCGAGCGUUGUCCGGAUUUAUUGGGCGUAAAGGGCUCGUAGGUGGUUGAUCGCGUCGGAAGUGUAAUCUUGGGGCUUAACCCUGAGCGUGCUUUCGAUACGGGUUGACUUGAGGAAGGUAGGGGAGAAUGGAAUUCCUGGUGGAGCGGUGGAAUGCGCAGACAUCAGGAGGAACACCAGUGGCGAAGGCGGUUCUCUGGGCCUUUCCUGACGCUGAGGAGCGAAAGCGUGGGGAGCGAACAGGCUUAGAUACCCUGGUAGUCCACGCUGUAAACGGUGGGUACUAGGUGUGGGGUCCAUUCCACGGGUUCCGUGCCGUAGCUAACGCUUUAAGUACCCCGCCUGGGGAGUACGGCCGCAAGGCUAAAACUCAAAGGAAUUGACGGGGCCCCGCACAAGCGGCGGAGCAUGCGGAUUAAUUCGAUGCAACGCGUAGAACCUUACCUGGGUUUGACAUGGAUCGGGAGUGCUCAGAGAUGGGUGUGCCUCUUUUGGGGUCGGUUCACAGGUGGUGCAUGCCUGUCGUCAGCUCGUGUCGUGAGAUGUUGGGUUAAGUCCCGCAACGAGCGCAACCCUUGUUCACUGUUGCCAGCACGUUAUGGUGGGGACUCAGUGGAGACCGCCGGGGUCAACUCGGAGGAAGGUGGGGAUGACGUCAAGUCAUCAUGCCCCUUAUGUCCAGGGCUUCACGCAUGCUACAAUGGCUGGUACAGAGAGUGGCGAGCCUGUGAGGGUGAGCGAAUCUCGGAAAGCCGGUCUCAGUUCGGAUUGGGGUCUGCAACUCGACCUCAUGAAGUCGGAGUCGCUAGUAAUCGCAAAUCAGCAACGCUGCGGUGAAUACGUUCCCGGG